Molecule: transfer RNA, 73 nt
Filed under: Planctomycetia bacterium
Lineage: Bacteria; Pseudomonadati; Planctomycetota; Planctomycetia
Description: tRNA-Arg
Rfam family: tRNA (bases 9-66)
About the family: Transfer RNA (tRNA) molecules are approximately 80 nucleotides in length. Their secondary structure includes four short double-helical elements and three loops (D, anti-codon, and T loops).
Source: RNAcentral
CGUUUCGUUGGUUCGAUGGAUAGAGCGUCGGACUUCGGAUCCGAAGGUUGGGGGUUCGACUCCCUCCGGGCGU